UACGUAGGGGGCAAGCGUUAUCCGGAUUUACUGGGUGUAAAGGGAGCGUAGACGGCCAGACAAGUCUGAAGUGAAAAUCCAGCGCUUAACGUUGGAAGUGCUUUGGAAACUGCCGGGCUAGAGUGCAGGAGGGGCAGGCGGAAUUCCUAGUGUAGCGGUGAAAUGCGUAGAUAUACGGAGGAACACCAGUGGCGAAGGCGGAUUGCUGGACAGUAACUGACGCUGAGGCGCGAAAGCGUGGGGAGCAAACAGG
This 253-nucleotide ribosomal RNA is filed under the name uncultured bacterium. RNAcentral describes it as "partial 16S ribosomal RNA". It matches the Rfam family "Bacterial small subunit ribosomal RNA", at positions 524 to 776 of the family's 1533-position model. The record is from RNAcentral.